UUUGAUAUUGGUUUGUUGUAGACCCAUCCCCAGUAACGUCAACCUGCAAAAGGAAAGUACAGUCAGCAUGUCCUUCACACUAGAAGGUCACGGAGAUCAUUACGUUAAACUUUUCAUGCGACGGCGUAGAGGUUGGGCGAGAACGACACGUGUUACCUCAUUAUCAAGCAGGUAAAAUACCGCAAGGCUUAAGAGGUGAGGGUGAGAAAAAAAAUCGUAUGAAAGGACAGAGAAAAGGCCAUAGAAAUCAGUCGGGUGAGUAUCUCCGACACGGCAACAACUGCUGUGCACUAUUUGUCACCAGCCUUCUUCAUCGUAUUGCUAGUUUGCAAUCAUUGUUAACUGUGUUGUGCUGCUGUUGGGAGUUGUAUCGUUGAUGGCUGGGUCGACCACUGGUGUACCUGGGUAUGGCAUAUACCAAACCUCAACGCCACCGCCUUACUACACACCAACAUAUGCAACAACAGGUUACCAACAUAUACACCACCAAGGCUCCAGAGUAUUACCCCACAACUUGUGAUGCCCUGAGCUACUACACCGAAGCCUGAAGUAUAACUCUGCCCCAAGCUGCAUCACCAAAGAGCCGGAGUACUACACCGAGGUUCCCAAGUAUUACACCACUAAGGCACCGGAAUACUUCUCGACUACGUAUGCUGCUCCUGCCUACUACACCGAGGGUCCUAAUUAAUACCAUACCCAAAGACUACACUACAACCUACGCUGCCCCGAGCUACUACACCGACGUCCCGAAGUAUUACUCUGCGUUAAAGGAGUGGUCUUAAAAAAAGAAGUCGUAUAAAAGGAGAAAUAAAAGUUGGUAUAAAUCCGUCAAGUGAGGACACGGCAAUAACUGCAGCGCACUAUUUGUCCCCAACUGCUUCUUCAUCGUAUUACCAGUUAGCAAUCAUGGUUAACUAUAGUGUCGUGCUGCUGUUGGGUGUUUCGAGCAAAAGUGUAUCGUUAACGGCUGGGUCGACCACUGGUAUACCGAUGUCUCCUGGGAAUGGCGGAUACCAAGCCGCAACGCCUACACUGCAACAACUUACGCAACGACAAGUUACUACACCACUAAGGCACCGGAGUGUUAUACCACAACUUACGCUGCUCCGAACUAUUACACCGACGCCCCGAAGUAUUACUCUGCCCCGAGUUGCUACACCACCAAGGAACCAGAGUACGACACGACUAUGUAUGCUGCCCCCCCAUCCUACUAUACCGAGACUGCCAAGUACUACUCUGUUCUCAACUACUUACUACACCGAUGCGCAUAAGUACUGCCCUGUUCCCAGCUACUACACCGAGGCUUAUUGCUCACCAAAACGGUCGAAUACUACACUGAAGCGCCAAACUACUACUCUGCCUCGAUCUACGCAACCACAACCGGCCAGGUAUUACGCAGCCACGACUUACUACAUUGAAGCUAAGUAUCUUCGUACUACGUUGAACCGAACCGAACGUUUUCCGAUUCCGCUGGCUCGGUAAAAUUGUGGUGAUGCAAAGUAACAGAUUCUCUGUCAGGACGAUAUUGGAUGACGUUACGUAACAAAAAGGUUCACAUCUUGACAAAGUUUUAAGUAAGAACUCUCUCUUUCGAGUAUUUAUGUAAUUAGCCACCUUUUAUUUCCACAAGCACGAUAAUAACUAAUUAUUAUCAAUAUAUUUUUGUAUUAACCAACUUUUUCCCAAAAUAUAAAUGUCAUUUCCUUCA
Molecule: RNA transcript, 1708 nt
Organism: Daphnia pulex (common water flea)
Lineage: Eukaryota; Metazoa; Arthropoda; Branchiopoda; Diplostraca; Daphniidae
Exons: 3
Source: RefSeq, a predicted model, not a curated record